GGCCUCUUGGCGCAAUGGAAGCGCAUCAGACUUCGGAUCUGAGGGUUGCAGUUCGAUCCUGCAGGGGGUCG
Molecule: transfer RNA, 71 nt
Filed under: Leishmania tarentolae
Lineage: Eukaryota; Euglenozoa; Kinetoplastea; Trypanosomatida; Trypanosomatidae
Description: tRNA-Arg
Rfam family: tRNA
About the family: Transfer RNA (tRNA) molecules are approximately 80 nucleotides in length. Their secondary structure includes four short double-helical elements and three loops (D, anti-codon, and T loops). Further hydrogen bonds mediate the characteristic L-shaped molecular structure. tRNAs have two regions of fundamental functional importance: the anti-codon, which is responsible for specific mRNA codon recognition, and the 3' end, to which the tRNAs corresponding amino acid is attached (by aminoacyl-tRNA synthetases). tRNAs cope with the degeneracy of the genetic code in two manners: having more than one tRNA (with a specific anti-codon) for a particular amino acid; and 'wobble' base-pairing, i.e. permitting non-standard base-pairing at the 3rd anti-codon position.
Source: RNAcentral